UGCAACCCAAAUGUUUGAAAC
RNAcentral lists this non-coding RNA (21 nucleotides) under Caenorhabditis elegans. Lineage: Eukaryota; Metazoa; Nematoda; Chromadorea; Rhabditida; Rhabditidae. The record is from RNAcentral.